AAAUGCAGAUUAUCACAAAAUCUGUGUGACAUGAGUGACAACUUCAGCUGUUGUCAUCUGCCCUCACACACGCUCUGCGCUGCUUUCCUGGUUCCAGAUGGCCAGAGAGAAGACAGUCAGCCAACACAGUGCAGGCACUACAGAGCAGCCUCAGCAGUAGAGACAAUCUCUUUUUCUCUUUCUGGGAUCAUCCUGUUGCAUGUUUCCUGACUAUGCAGGACGUGGUGUAGCUGAUACCCUGGCCCUUAUAUAAGUGAUUCUCUGGAUAAGCCUGUCCAGCUGUUCAUUCCUGCAGCAUGGAACUGCAGCACGUGGCCCCGUGUGCUUCCCUCUCCGCAGAAUUUCUCUCUGCACACAAUGCAAACCCUCCAUUUUAACCAUUCUGACUGGUUACAGGAUGGCCUCAGAGUUAUUUUCAGCUGCAAUAAUAGGUAAAAAAUAUUCAUGUUGGAGGGUCAUCUAUGGAUCCCAAUGAAGACCUGCUCCCAAAUACUAUGGAGCAAGGACACAGUCAAUUUGUGUCAUUUGGUGCCCAUUUCUCAUCGCUCUCACAGCCAAGAAUUUCUUCCCAAUGUCUGAUCUAAACCUGUCCUCUGUGAAUUUCAAGCUAUUAUCCCUUGUCAUAUCACAACACAGCCUGUAAAAAGUCCCUCUCCAGCCUUCUUGUAGCCCUCUUUAGGCACUGUAAGGCUGCUGCCAUGGUAACCACUGCAUCACUGGUUCCCAUUCUUGGUUUUCCUAAGGUUGUAGUAGAUUUUCAGGAAGUUGCAUCAUUUGAAAGAGUCACUGGAUAGGAGGUUCAACUUCUAGAUGCAUAUUCAAAUCUGGAAGACUAAGUGCAAAGCAGACCCCUAGACCUGUAAGGGAAAAUGCCAGCAAGAUAGACAUGAUUUCAUGCUGUGCCAACAAAAAAAUCCAACCCCUAACAGCAUUAUGCCUUGCCAUCCUUCAUAGUACUAUGAAUUUGGAAGCUGAAAGAAAAAUGGGGAACUUUGGAAGUCACUACUAGCUAUUACAGGAAGUGGUAUAGCUGUAGUCAAAUAAAUGUG
RNAcentral lists this long non-coding RNA (1049 nucleotides) under Cyanistes caeruleus (blue tit). RNAcentral's name for it is "lncRNA (ENSCCEG00000014581.1)". The record is from RNAcentral. Lineage: Eukaryota; Metazoa; Chordata; Aves; Passeriformes; Paridae.